GCUCCCUCCCUGUCCCAGCAGCCAAACAUACACGGUUCCCCCUUUCCCUUCCAUGAAAGAAAGACACAGGAGCAGAAAGAGAGGAAGAGAAAGGAAUCUGCGUCAGUGGCACUGGGAAGGCUGUCGCCUGUCCUCAUUGCGAGUCACCGUCCCUGAGCUGCAGCACCAUGGAGCCAGCUUCGUCGCGCUGCCUCGGCCGUCUGUGCUAUCGUCGCCGCCGCUGGUUCACCUGGCGCCGCCGUCGAAGUUGAAGCACGGGGAGAGAGGGUUCGCGAGUGAGAGAGGGGUGAUGGCCUGGAUCUGCCGCACCUAGUCUCUUCUGCGAAGUCACCGUCGUCAUCCAAGCCCGUCACCGCCACUUGCAUCGUUGCCGUCUCUGCCCAGCGCCGCCGCAGAUGAUAGGUCGCCGGGAACCACCACUGAAGCUCGUGUAGUCAUCAUCCUUGCCAACAGCGAGAGAGGAGCAAGAUGAACCCUUCUGUCUCUGUUGUUCUGGUCCGCUGAGAAAGGAAAGACGCUGCCUUUGUACUUCACGCGUCGCCGAUGAGCACGGAGAAGAGGAGCUGUGUCCGCGUCACUGCCGUUUGAGGGGUUGUGCGUGGCCGCCGUUGUACCGCCCUGCUUCACCGUGACUGAGCUCUGUCACUCCCUGCUCUUUGGGCUUGUGAUGUUGUUGCGGAAAUUGCUACAGGAAGAGGAACAGGCUGAGUCACCGUGCUUUGGGCCACCGGGAGUGGUUAUGUGGCUUCCGGGAUCACCGCCGGAGCUCUGGGCUGAGCUUCUGCCACUUGAGACCCUGCUGCCACUGUGUUCCACCGCCGUUGCCGUCACCGGGACUUUUGCUCGCGAUUGUCACUUGGGGUUACUGAUGGAGCCGCUGCUGGGUUGAUAUGGAACUGCGGCUGCUUCGUUUUGUUAAUUCAUGUUGCUAUGGUUAUUGCGAAAGUGGCUGGGAGCUGAGGUUUUGGUUGUUGAUUUCGGACUGAGGCAGAAAGGACUCUGUGAGACGUUUGGGUUAUGGAAUUGCGUUUUGAGGAUACGGGCGCAGAAGUUAUGAAGAGUUUAUCUAGUUGUUGUUGAGAUGCUCUGUAUUGCUUUAGAUUAUUAUUCUUGUACCCUCGCCUU
Non-coding RNA from Arachis ipaensis, 1125 nucleotides. The record is from RefSeq and is a predicted model, not a curated record. NCBI's taxonomy places the organism in Eukaryota, Viridiplantae, Streptophyta, Magnoliopsida, Fabales, Fabaceae.